UACUUUCAUUCUCGAAUUCUAUUUUUUUAAAAAAUUUUUAUUUAAAUUUUUUAAGUUAUUACAAUCAAAUCGUAUAACCUAAUUUAGAUUACCAAAUAUUGAUAUAUCGCUCAUAUAGAGGUGAUAUAAUAAUAUUAUGAUGGAUGAUAUAUAUAUCAAUAAUUAAGAUGUCACAUCAUUUUUACAUCAACGAUCGAUUCAUUCGAAUUUAGUCAACUAAAUUAGUUUGUGAGACUUGAUUAAUAAUACAUCAAUAAUUAAAAUGUUAUAUUAGUUUUACAUUAAUGAUGUAUUCAAAUCUAGUCAAUUAAAUUAGUUUGUGGGAUUUAAUUACAUCCAUUCUGAAAGUUCAAGUAAAAAAUUAUAAAAAAAUUAAAGUUUAUGGGCAAUUUAUCCUUAAUUUUUUUAGGAAAAACUUCAAAAACCCCCCCUGUGGUUUCGUGCAUUCUCACUUUGCUACCCUGUGGUUUAAAACGUAUCAAUUUAGCCCCCUGUGGUUUCAUUUUUAUCUUUUCGGAAGCUUUUUCGUUAAUAUUUCGUUAAAUUAUAUACAAAAAACUUCAGAUAACCAUCUAUAUUUAUCGAAUAGUCACUUUAGUAUUCUUUAAUUUUAACUUUGUCACUGAUUUUAAAAAAAAAUAAUAAUAAAAUUGAUAACAAAAAGAUAAAAACGAAACCACAGUGGGGCAAAAUGAUACGUUUUAAACCACAGGGUAGCAAAGUGAGAAUGCACGAAACCACAGGGGUGGUUUUUGAAGUUUUUCCAUUUUUUUAUCAUUUACCAAGGAUAAAUUUG
RNAcentral lists this long non-coding RNA (796 nucleotides) under Ananas comosus (pineapple). Its description in RNAcentral is "long non-coding RNA (ACOM_LNC027034)". The record is from RNAcentral. Lineage: Eukaryota; Viridiplantae; Streptophyta; Magnoliopsida; Poales; Bromeliaceae.